Molecule: non-coding RNA, 4119 nt
Organism: Zonotrichia albicollis (white-throated sparrow)
Lineage: Eukaryota; Metazoa; Chordata; Aves; Passeriformes; Passerellidae
Source: RefSeq, a predicted model, not a curated record
GAUUGCAAGACAUGGGCGGUGGAAGAGCUAAGCAUUGAGUGUUCUUUCAGGAAAAAGCUAUCCUAGGGGAGCUCCCUGGGGUUUGUGGUCACUGGUUUGGAAACAGCACCAUUAUCUCUCCCUGUGCUCACAUGCCAUACCUCCAGAAUGCCCAAAGGAUCAACAAUCCAAGGCAAUGGGAACUAGAAGAGGCUUCCGUUGUUUAUCAUGGUGCUGUUGAAGUCUCCUGGGGUUGACAGAUGCCGCUCCAGAAGGUUAAUAAGAUGAAGAAAGCUCUUCCAGCUGGACCGUAAGAGGGAUUAUGUCUGAGCAGCAGAUAAACAGAUUAUUCCAGAAACAGACACUGCUUUUUUUUAAAACUUCGUCACUCUUGUCUUACCACUCCAGUUCCCCGGGCUAGAAGUGUGGGCGUCGGAGGGUUCGCCCAGCUCUUGCACUCUGGCACCUGUUGCACUCUGCCCAGCUGCAAUUCCAUGCAGUCCAAGGCUGGAGACACCUGAAAAAUAAAGACAUUUGGGGAUUUUAGUUCUCUAAGAAAACAGAAUUCUUCUACUUGAAAAAAAUUUUCUUGUUUCCUGCAUGACUGGUCUUGAAAACUGUGAAUGAUCAAUAGACAGCAUGCAUUUGAAAACUGGAUUAAUAUUUUUGAUCAUUUGCCUUGCUCUCCAAGUUCAGGGAAGCAGAGAAAUUCCUGAUAAAAUUAACCGUGCUGAAGCCAAACAACUUGCAGUCACCUCAGGGUCAGACAAAACAGAAAGAACAACAAAGAGGUCCAGGAUAUCAACCAUAAGGCGGAUAUUUGACAUGGCAAAACACCGGACAAAGAGGUCAUCCUUUUUCUCAACUGGUGUGAAAGUUUGCCCACAAGAAUCAGUGAAGCAGAUUUUAGCCAGUCACCAAGCUUACUACAGAUUAAGAGUCUGCCAGGAAGCUGUGUGGGAAGCCUUUCGUAUUUUUCUGGAUCGGAUUCCUGAUACUUCUGAAUAUCAGAACUGGGUUAGUGCCUGCCAGAGAGAAACCUUCUGCAUAUUCGACAUUGGGAAAAACUUCAGCAAUUCCCAAGAGCACCUGGAAAUAAUUCAGCGGCGAGUAAAACAUAGAACCUUCCAGGAAAGGAAAGAUGAAAUAUCAGCAGAGAAAACAGGAGGCAAAAAGGUGGAAGACAUUCCCUCCAUUUCUACAGGCUCUCCUGGCACACCCCUCUCUCCAUACGCCCCUAAUGGCACAUUGCUCAACGAAAUUUUCAAUGACACAAAGACUCCUGUGAAGGACCUGGGAACAAAUGCAGUCCCUGAAUUGCCUGUGGAGCAAAUGGUGGAAUUCAGUGUGACUCUCACUGAUCAGGAGUACACAGCUGAACUUAGUGACCCCAACUCCCCAGAGUACCAACAACUAGCUGCCAAAUUUCAGCUACAGAUGAAAAAAAUAUUUGAGAAACUUCCAGGAUUCAAGGAAAUCCGCGUGUUAGGAUUCAAACAGAAGAAGGAGAAAGAUGGAUCCAGCAGCACAGUAGCAAGAUACGUGGUGAACUUUGAGAGAGAUGGCUCAGAAACCAAAGGCACAGCAGAUGACAUCUCCACUAUUGGAUCUAAUAAGGUCGAAAGUGAAAAAAUUCCAAUUUCUCCAGUUGAAGAGAGGGAAAUAUCAGCAACCAAACUGACAGUAACAGACCUUCAGCAGCUGGUUGCCACUGCACUCCAUGAAGACCAGUCCCUGCCAGUGGACCUUGGAACACUUCAGUUUACUGAUGAAACUAUCAUACCACCUAGUGAAUUAGACAAUGAUAUCCAAGGUGUGGUCACUAUUCCUCUGGCAGGCCCUGAUUUGGAGGAACUCCCACUAGGUUAUCCCAGUCCAGCAACAGUGGAUCAAAGAGGAGAUGUAUUUGUUGAUGAAUUUACAACGGAAAGCCCUGUUCUAAGUGAAGAAAUCAGCAUCCCUGAGGAAUUCAAUAAUUUUAUUACAUCUGAACCUGAUUUUCCUACCAAACCGUCCAGAGAACCAUUCCAGGACAGAUACCCAUACACCCAAGUUAUUGCUACCGACCGCCCAAGUUCCACAGUGCCUUUCAGUGCUCUGGGUAGCACCAGCAGCCCUCCAAAAGCAGAGGAUUCCUUUUUGCCUCCCCCGGCAGAUGACUCUGCUGGCCAGGACUCGCUCACGGGUGGCUCUGAGCCUCCAGAGGAGCCAGGCACCUCGGGAAGCGUCACCACUGCCCAUCCCCUGCCUGCCACCGAGCCGGGCAGGGAUGCUGCGGAGACACAGGGACUGACCGACACAGCACAGCCUCCUCCCAGGGAAGUCGACCAAGACAGCCUGUCUGGACAAGCAGUUAAGAUCAUGGAAGAACCAGAAUCAUCAGGGGAUGACAUUUUUGUUACAGCCAGCACUUAUGAAGGGUUGCCUUUCUUUACUGCUCCAAGUGGUGUCUCUACCAUGCAGCCUGGAGCUGCCAUCACCGACGUGCUGCCACCAAUAGUACCACUGCCCGCAGCCACCAGCCCGUCCUACAGCCCCUCCGAGAUCAUUGAGCAGUCCCUUGAGUUACCAGGUCCCUCAGUGCCAGCCCCUGAGGGGAUUCCUGUGGAUGGCACCGGGAUGGGCGUGCAGGACAUCGCGGCUGAGCUGGAUCAGAUGGGCGCCGUGAGCACAGCGGGGCUGGACGAGGGCAGUGGCUACAUCCCAGUGCUGACCACGGAGCCUGCAGAAACCACCCCUGCACCCGUGCUCAAGUACGUCACCACCAGCUCCAUGACCACUGCCGCCAAAGGCAAAGAGCUCGUGGUUUUCUUCAGCCUGAGGGUAACCAACAUGCACUUCUCUGACGACCUCUUCAACAGGAGCUCGACAGAAUACAAAGCACUGGAACAACAGUUCAUGCAAUUGUUACUUCCAUACCUUCAGUCCAACCUUACAGGUUUUAAGCAUCUGGAAAUUCUCAACUUCAGGAAUGGAAGUGUGAUUGUGAACAGCAAAAUGAAAUUUGCCAAGACAGUGCCAUACAAUAUCACAGAAGCAGUACACUGUGUUUUGGAAGAUUUCUGUGAUGCUGCAGCUCAGCACCUCAAUUUGGAGAUUGACAGCUAUUCCCUGGAUAUUGAGCCAGCGGACCAGGCCGACCCCUGCAAGUUCCUGGCCUGUGACAAGUUUUCCGAGUGCGUGCUGAACGAGUGGACCCGGGAGGCCGACUGCCUGUGCAGGCCCGGCUACGCCAGCCGGGACGGGCUGCCCUGCCGCAGCCUGUGCGAGCUGCAGCCCCAGCUCUGCCUCAACGGCGGCAAGUGCGAGCUGGUGCCGGGAACCGGAGCUGUCUGCAGAUGCCCUGUACGUAGACACCAGCUUUACCAAGGACAGCGCUGUGCAAAAUUUGGUCCAGAACCCACACAACCCUUCAUUUUUAAACCUCUCAUUUUUGGCUUAGGAAGCCUUGGUUUUCUUUUCAUCAUUUUAAUUAUUAAGAUAAGAAGAAGGUGCAAAAGAAACUCUAAUUUGCAAAGUCCUGCUCUCAGCAGCUGCAAUCCAGAAAAUGCUGUAAGGAUUAAUCCUGCUUUUGAACACGAUGAAUCCCUAUCUAGCUUUUGUCACACGGCUUGCAGUGUAAGUGCUUGUCUCAGUUUCUCAGAGAUCCUUGAUCACGAAGCAUUACAUGAACUUGAAAACACAAUUCAGCCUGGAGGUAAACUGCAUGGAAAUCCCUUUCUCAUCCCUCAACCAACAGCCCCACCUGAAAUAACAGGUCCACCUUCGUGUAUUAACUCCACAACUAAAUCAAACUUGAAGCUACUCUUGCUUGGCAAUUUCAGAACUGAAAAUACUAAUGCAUUCAUUGCUUUCCACAUUUACUGCAGUGUAGUUCUCAUAACAGGACUGUAGAACUGCUUUUCUUACAGCUGUCUUGCAUGGCUCUGCCAGUCUAUCCUAGCUGAGUGCUUUUAGUCAUUUAGAGAAAUAAUUACUGGUUUGGUUUUUUUACUCUUGUAGGUCACCAGAUGAGUUUACAAAACCAAGACUGACAAGUUAGUCCCUGGAAUUCUUCGUUUCCAGCAUCAGCCACACAAAAUCAAGGUCUUCAAGAAAGAAGGUCUGCAUUAUUCAAGACUGGACUUCAGGAUGAGUAUG